AGAACGAACGCUGGCGGCAGGCCUAAUACAUGCAAGUCGAACGCACUCUUCGGAGUGAGUGGCAGACGGGUGAGUAACGCGUGGGAACCUUCCCAAUGGUACGGAAUAACUCCGGGAAACCGGUGCUAAUACCGUAUAAGCCCCUCGGGGGAAAGAUUUAUCGCCAUUGGAUGGGCCCGCGUCGGAUUAGCUAGUUGGUGAGGUAAUGGCUCACCAAGGCUACGAUCCGUAGCUGGUCUGAGAGGAUGAUCAGCCACACUGGGACUGAGACACGGCCCAGACUCCUACGGGAGCAGCAGUAGGGAAUCUUGGACAAUGGGCGAAAGCCUGAUCCAGCCAUGCCGCGUGAGUGAAGAAGGCCUUAGGGUUGUAAAGCUCUUUGGCGGGACGAUAAUGACGGUACCCGCAGAAUAAGCCCGGCUAACUUCGUGCCAGCAGCCGC
Molecule: ribosomal RNA, 442 nt
Filed under: uncultured soil bacterium
Lineage: Bacteria
Description: bacterial SSU rRNA
Rfam family: Bacterial small subunit ribosomal RNA
Source: RNAcentral